RNAcentral lists this long non-coding RNA (1278 nucleotides) under Daucus carota (carrot). RNAcentral describes it as "long non-coding RNA (DCAR_LNC003872)". The record is from RNAcentral. Lineage: Eukaryota; Viridiplantae; Streptophyta; Magnoliopsida; Apiales; Apiaceae.
CCGUAAUACCUCAUUUGCCACAUUAGAAAGUGCUUGAUAUAGUCCAAUAAAGACUGGUAUUGUAGCCAAAGUUGGUAAACAACCUAUUGUAUAACCAAAAGCAAAAUCAAAUCAAGAUUAAUUGAUUGACAUUAUACAGGAUACAAGCAAAUCCAGUGCAGUUACACAAACUUAAAAAAAGCAAAGGUUUGCUACUCGAUAAAUGUUAUGAGGUACAUGUGAUCACAGUUAAUUUCUAACUCAUGGACCGAGGUCCGGGAUUACUACAAGGAGUUGGUGAUCCAUUUCUUAAGAAGAUGGACAAUCCAUUAUUUUGACAGGGUCUAAUUCUGGUGUGUAACUAUAUUAUAAAUCAAGAAUCAACCUCUCUUGUUAAUUUGAAAAAAUUAUCAGAUUUUGUAUAAAAGUACAUGUAAGCAUACAAUACACUUGCAGAUUUUACAAUCAGAAAAGAAAGACAUAAAGCAGACCUGAAUGCACUUGUUAAGAUUGUAUUUCAUACAUAAAUGAUAUAAUAUAGCAAAUGUAUAACUUUUAACUUGGAAUUAAUUUUUAAUGUUAAAAUAAACCAAUUCAUCAGUUUACUACACAUGUGAAUGCAUAUGGCAAGAGAAUGGUUUAACUACACUUGCUAAACAUUAGGAUAUUCACUUAUGUUGACAUGCUCACAUGAACAAUUACUUGGUACAAAAAUGAAAUCAAGCAUAUGCAUCAAGUAUUUAUCACCACCUUCUAUACCAAGUGAAGAAUGAAAAUGAGCAGAAUUGUUCAUUGGGUACCCUAUAGAUCUUUUACAGUACUACUAGUACUUUUUUAAGUAUACAGAGAGGGAGUAAAGAUUCAAGCACAUCAUGUUGUGGCACAAGAGGUAACCCAAGAAUUAUAGAUAACUUAUUUGAUAGUGUAAAACGUAAGAGAAGAUUAUGCAAAAAAGAACCGGAAAGGAGGACAAGAAUUAAGAGCUAAAAAACCCACUUUUUUACGAUUACGAGGUAUGUUCAAAUAUAAACCAAUCCUGUAAUUAUACGGCAUGAGGUCAACCCUCUGCCCGUCUGCCGGGUGAAGUUAGCUUCUUUAUUGCUCUGUUCACUGUAGUCUUCUUGUAUGCAUCACCAUGUGUUCCUUAGUUAAUUAGAAUACCUAAAGUCGUGGUUCCCAGAACAAGUCGACUCCUUAGAGUAGUGCUGAUAUUUAGUAAACGAUGAACCAUUUGGAGAUCCAAUUAUUGCUUCUAUUAACUAAAGAUAUAAACUAAGUAACAUUAAACACUAUAAGUAU